UACGGGGGGUGCAAGCGUUAUCCGGAUUUACUGGGUUUAAAGGGUGUGUAGGCGGCUUUUUAAGUCAGUGGUGAAAGCCUAGCGCUCAACGCUAGAAAUGCCAUUGAUACUGGAAAGCUUGAGUCAAGAAGAGGUAAGCAGAAUUUAUGGUGUAGCAGUGAAAUGCUUAGAUACCAUAAGGAAUACCAACAGCGAAGGCAGUUUACUGGUCUUGAACUGACGCUGAGGCACGAAAGCGUGGGGAGCAAACAGG
Molecule: ribosomal RNA, 253 nt
Filed under: uncultured bacterium
Lineage: Bacteria
Description: partial 16S ribosomal RNA
Rfam family: Bacterial small subunit ribosomal RNA
Source: RNAcentral